This 75-nucleotide microRNA precursor is filed under the name Tursiops truncatus (common bottlenose dolphin). Its description in RNAcentral is "miRNA (ENSTTRG00000024973.1)". The record is from RNAcentral. Lineage: Eukaryota; Metazoa; Chordata; Mammalia; Artiodactyla; Delphinidae.
UGGGUUGACCAAAAAGUUCAUUCGGGUUUUUCUACAUCUUACAGAAAAACCCGAACAAACUUUUUGGCCAACCCA